GUGGGGAAUAUUGGACAAUGGGCGCAAGCCUGAUCCAGCAAUGCCGCGUGGGUGAAGAAGGUCUUCGGAUUGUAAAGCCCUUUCGGCGGGGACGAUGAUGACGGUACCCGCAGAAGAAGCCCCGGCUAACUUCGUGCCAGCAGCCGCGGUAAUACGAAGGGGGCUAGCGUUGCUCGGAAUUACUGGGCGUAAAGGGCGCGUAGGCGGCCUGCUUAGUCAGACGUGAAAUUCCCGGGCUUAACCUGGGGGCUGCGUUUGAGACGGGCGGGCUUGAGGAUGGAAGAGGCUCGUGGAAUUCCCAGUGUAGAGGUGAAAUUCGUAGAUAUUGGGAAGAACACCGGUGGCGAAGGCGGCGAGCUGGUCCAUUACUGACGCUGAGGCGCGACAGCGUGGGGAGCAAACAGGAUUAGAAACCCCAGUAGUCC
This 425-nucleotide ribosomal RNA is filed under the name uncultured bacterium. RNAcentral describes it as "bacterial SSU rRNA". It matches the Rfam family "Bacterial small subunit ribosomal RNA", at positions 354 to 796 of the family's 1533-position model. The record is from RNAcentral.